UGAGGCAGGAGGAUUGCUUGAGCCCAGGAGUUUGAGGUUGCUGUGAGCUAGGCUGACACCACGGCACUCUAGCCCGGGCAACACAGUGAGACUUUGUCUCAAAAAAAAAGUAUGUACAUUAUGUUUUUAUGUUUAUUUUUAUUUAUUUAUUUAUUUUUGAGACAGAGUCUGGCUCUGUUGCCCUGGCUAGAGUGAGUGCCAUGGCGUCAGCCUAGCUCACAGCAACCUCAAACUCCUGGGCUCAAGCAAUCCUCCUGCCUCAGCCUCCCGAGUAGCUGGGACUACAGGCAUGCGCCACCAUGCCCGGC
RNAcentral lists this non-coding RNA (308 nucleotides) under Propithecus coquereli (Coquerel's sifaka). Lineage: Eukaryota; Metazoa; Chordata; Mammalia; Primates; Indriidae. The record is from RNAcentral.